UUGGUAUAGGCAGCAAUACAUAUAUACUAAAAAGUAUAUGGCUGCUAGUAGUUCAUCAACCAAAUAUGAUGAUAAAGUCAUUAUUCCCAUUUCUGACGACGAAGACGCUCAACAACUCCAACUUGAAGAGGCCAAGAGAUGGAUGCGGUGUCCCAACCGCCGCUUUUUUGUUGAAAAACGAUUUGGCUGUUCCAUUAUUUCUUGCAGGUGUGGGUGUCUCUUUAAUUAUGGAUGGUGAUCUGUACCCGUCCGUUUUCGACAAUACAUCACCUUUCGCGUUUAUCUGAUCGGAUAAGCUCAC
Erigeron canadensis is the source of this 301-nucleotide long non-coding RNA. RefSeq lists it as uncharacterized. The transcript has 3 exons. NCBI's taxonomy places the organism in Eukaryota, Viridiplantae, Streptophyta, Magnoliopsida, Asterales, Asteraceae. The record is from RefSeq and is a predicted model, not a curated record.